This 492-nucleotide ribosomal RNA is filed under the name uncultured bacterium. RNAcentral describes it as "partial 16S ribosomal RNA". It matches the Rfam family "Bacterial small subunit ribosomal RNA", at positions 29 to 507 of the family's 1533-position model. The record is from RNAcentral.
AGUGAACGCUGGCGGUAGGCCUAACACAUGCAAGUCGAACGGCAGCACAGUAAGAGCUUGCUCUUACGGGUGGCGAGUGGCGGACGGGUGAGGAAUACAUCGGAAUCUACUUUUUCGUGGGGGAUAACGUAGGGAAACUUACGCUAAUACCGCAUACGACCUACGGGUGAAAGCUGGGGAUCUUCGGACCUUGCGCGAUUGAAUGAGCCGAUGUCGGAUUAGCUAGUUGGCGGGGUAAAGGCCCACCAAGGCGACGAUCCGUAGCUGGUCUGAGAGGAUGAUCAGCCACACUGGAACUGAGACACGGUCCAGACUCCUACGGGAGGCAGCAGUGGGGAAUAUUGGACAAAGGGCGCAAGCCUGAUCCAGCCAUACCGCGUGGGUGAAGAAGGCCUUCGGGUUGUAAAGCCCUUUUGUUGGGAAAGAAAAGCAGCAGGUUAAUACCCCGCUGUUCUGACGGUACCCAAAGAAUAAGCACCGGCUAACUUCGUG